RNAcentral lists this ribosomal RNA (501 nucleotides) under uncultured bacterium. Its description in RNAcentral is "partial 16S ribosomal RNA". It matches the Rfam family "Bacterial small subunit ribosomal RNA", at positions 28 to 523 of the family's 1533-position model. The record is from RNAcentral.
GAUGAACGCUAGCGGCAGGCCUAACACAUGCAAGUCGAGGGGCAGCACAGAAACAGCAAUGUUUUGGUGGCGACCGGCGGACGGGUGCGUAACGCGUAUGCAACCUACCUUUAACAGGGGGAUAACGGAGAGAAAUUUCCACUAAUACCCCAUAACAUCGAUCAAGGCAUCUUGAUUGGUUGAAAACUCCGGUGGUUAAAGAUGGGCAUGUGUUGUAUUAGGUAGUUGGUGAGGUAAUGGCUCACCAAGCCUACGAUACAUAGGGGACUGAGAGGUUAGCCCCCCACACUGGUACUGAGACACGGACCAGACUCCUACGGGAGGCAGCAGUGAGGAAUAUUGGUCAAUGGGGGCAACCCUGAACCAGCCAUGCCGCGUGCAGGAGGACGGCUCUAUGAGUUGUAAACUGCUUUUAAACAGGGAUAAAGCACAGUAUGUAUACUGUGUUGAAGGUACUGUAAGAAUAAGGAUCGGCUAACUCCGUGCCAGCCGCCGCAGUAA